CCCUAUGGGGUGCAGCAGGCGCGAAACCUUUACAAUGCACGAAAGUGUGAUAGGGGAACUCAAAGUGCUUUGCUUAGGCAAGGCUUUUGCUAAGUCAAAACAGCUUGGCGAAUAAGUGGUGGGUAAGACGGGUGCCAGCCGCCGCGGUAACACCUGCGCCACAAGUGGCAACCAUGAUUAUUGGGCCUAAAGCGUCCGUAGCCGGUCUUAAUAGUCUUCUGUGAAAUUGUUAAGCUUAACUUAACAGCGUGCAGGAGAUACUGUAAGACUUGGAACUGGGGGGAGUCAGAAGAAUUUUUGGGGGAACGGUAAAAUGUUAUAAUCCCAAAAAGACUACCAGUGGCGAAAGCGUCUGACUAAUACAUGUUCGACGGUGAGGGACGAAAGCCAGGGGAGCAAUCCGGAUUAGAUAUCAAAAAUUUUGCGAAGCAAAAUUCUUUGAGUUUAGUCAAAUAUUUCUACGAUUGCAACAAUAUACUGUAGAGAUUUUUGAUUCUAAGACUAUAUCAAAAUUUUUGACUAAUUACCCGAGUAGUCCUGGCUGUAAACUCUGCGAGCUAGGUGUUGCAUAUUCUUCGUGAAUAUGCAGUGUCGAAGCGAAAGUGUUAAGCUCGCCGCCUGGGAAGUAUGGUCGCAAGACUGAAACUUAAAGAAUAGGCGGGGGGAGCACUACAAAGGGUGCGGCCGUGCGGGUUUAUCCUAUUUCCCCACAGAGAA
RNAcentral lists this ribosomal RNA (717 nucleotides) under uncultured euryarchaeote. Its description in RNAcentral is "bacterial SSU rRNA". It matches the Rfam family "Archaeal small subunit ribosomal RNA", at positions 321 to 925 of the family's 1478-position model. The record is from RNAcentral. Lineage: Archaea; Methanobacteriati; Methanobacteriota.